RNAcentral lists this long non-coding RNA (4892 nucleotides) under Sus scrofa (pig). RNAcentral describes it as "lncRNA (ENSSSCG00000053272.1)". Lineage: Eukaryota; Metazoa; Chordata; Mammalia; Artiodactyla; Suidae. The record is from RNAcentral.
CAGGAGGAAUAAGAAACAAGCCAACAAAACAAUCUGGUAAAUAAGUAUACAUCAGAGAUUCCAGUAAGGAUAAGUGAGCACACCCAGUGAACUCCUUAUUAGGCGACAGCGUUUCUCGCCAAGUGUUAAGCCAAAGGAGACCUGGAACAAGAACCACUGACAUGUUCCUUAGCAUAUUCCUAGGAGCAAAUAUAAGGUCAACAGAAUGGAUGGUUUGUUUUAAAAUCUUCAGAUAUAAACAGAAACACACAGGUUUUUUUCCUAAUAGUUCACACAUGAGUAUGAAAAUGUUAACCAGCAUUUAUAGGGCCAAAAAAAAAAAAAAAGUACUUUUGAAGCAUUGUAAAAACUUUGCAAGGGCUAUACUGUGGUGUGGUCAGAGGAAACGGGGAACAAACAAAGUCUCCAGCAUCUAACUCUUGACAACCUUUCUUACUGCAUUUGAGUCAUCAAUCCACAGUGACAUGUUACAUAUGACACUCGGCCUCCAUUUGCUGAAACACUGAACUCACUGAGACUUUUUUUAUUUUAAUGGAGUCUCAAGGGUGUUCUGAAUAUAGCAUUGUUACAACUGGGAAGAGAUGAGAAAGAUUUAGACCACCUCCUUACCCUGAGUGCAAAACAUCAAAUAUGCACAGAUCAAAGAGAAAAGUUCUCACCUCCCACAGGUAGAAUGGCCACCAUCAAAAAGUCUACAAAUAAUAAAUGCUUAUUGGUUUGGGUGUGAAGAAAAGGAAACCCUCCCGCACUCCUGGAAGGAAUAUAAACUGAGGCUGCCACUAUGGAAAACAGUAUGGUGGCUUCUUAAAAAACUAAGAAUAUAGCUCCAUUUCACCCAGCAAUCCCACUCCCAGGUAUGUGUCUGGAAAAGAUGAAAACUUUUACUUCAAAAAAACGCAUAUACGCCAAUGUUCAUAGAAGCACAAUUUACAACAGCCAAGACAUGGAAACAACCUAAAUGUCCAUCCAAAGAUGAAUGGAUAAUGAAGAUGUGGUACAUACAUACACAAUGGAAUAUUACUCAGCCAUAAAAAGAAUGAAAUAAUGCCAUGUGCAACAAAAUGGAUGGACUUAGAGAUUAUCCUGAGUGCAGUAAGAUAAAGACAAAUACCAUAUGAUUGCACUUAUAUGUGAACUCCAAAAAAAAAAAAAAGAUACAAAUGAACUUAUUUAGAAAAUACAAUCAGACUCACAGACAGAGAAAACAAAUUUAUGGUUACCAAAGGGCAAAAAGUGGGGAAGGGAUAAAAUAUGAGCAUGAGAUUAACAUAAACACACUACUAAAUGUAAAAUAUAUAAACGACAAGGACCUACUAUACAGGACAGGGAAUAUAUUCAAUACAUUAUAAUAGCCUAUAAUGGAAAAUAAUCUGGAAAGCAUAUAUAUAAAACAUUUACAUAUACAUGCACAUGUAUACAUUUAUAUAUAUUUAUUUAUAUAUAACUGAAUUACUUUAUUGUACACCUAAAACUAACACAACAUUGCAAACUACUAUAUUUCAAUUCUGUUCAGCACUUCUCCACAGGAAAGGCAUGGAACUUGGUUGUGCAUUAUCCCAGUCACUGAGGGCUUUGCAUCAGAUUUCAACUGAUCCCAAAUAGAGGACAAACAUUCAUGGAUACAAGAAUAAACUGGAGCGGUUUCAAGUGUGUCAGCUAUUACCUUCUGUUUGAAAGAGCAUUUGGUACAAGUCUAUUUUGGGUAGACUCAUCAGAAAAAAAGGGAACAAAGGCCGUUCUUAAUGUAUCACAUCCCAGAUUUCAUACUUAAUGCAUCAUGGACUCAAUUCUCUUCCCUCCCAUAUAAGUUAUGAGAUGGCAACAGCUGUUGACCAGCCACAAACAAGAAUAAAGUAUAAAUUUCCAUGAGUCCUAGACCCUCAUCUUCUUAGGUGUGCCAUGUCAAAAAGUCAGUUGUUACAGAUUUCCUUUUUCAGCAAAUUAAAUGUUACUUUCUAGAAGACGUGAAGAACUAUAUCAUGCUACCCUUUGCCCCUACCAAAUAUUGUUUGAGUUUUCCCUUAUCCCUCAAAACCUAGGUAUGGGAAUGACAGAACAAUGUGAGGGUAGUUGCUAGAGCUAGCAACUACCAGUGAUGGCCCACAUGCAUGAUGAGGUCUUACCAUUUCUGUGAAGACCAAAGGUGCCCACACCCUGAACCCUGGGGCCUGUGCAUAUACGAUGUCACAUAGGAAAAGGGUUUUGCAGAUGCAAGUAAGGCUGCAGACCCUGAGGCAGGCAGAUUAUUCUGGGUUAUCUAGGUGGGCCCAAUCCAAUCACAUGAUCCCCUAAAAGCAGAGAAUGUUCUCCAGCUAAAGUCCAAGAGAUGAAAUAGCAAGGAAAGUCGGUGUGAUUCAAAGUGUGAGAGGGCCUAACCUACCACUGCUGGUGAGCAGCUGCAUGGACAGCAUGAGAAGGAAUGUGGGCAGCCUCUAAGUGCAAAGGAAACCUCAGUCCUACAACCACAAGGAAUCAAAUUUGUCCAAUGAAUGAAAGUGAAAACAGGUUCAUCUCCCUGGAGCCUCUGCAAGAAGGAAUACAGCCUGGCCUACACCUUCAUUUCAGCUUUGAGAGUGUUGAAGCAAAAGAUUUCGGAGAGUCCAACUACAGCUGGACUUCCCACUUUCUGAAUUGUGAGGUAACAAGUGGAUGUCAUUCUAAAUCACUAUAUUGGCAGCGAUUUUUUUUUUCUUUUUAGGGCCAUACCUGUGGCAUAUGGAAGUUCCCUGACUAGGGGUCAAAUCAGAUCUGUAGCUGCCAGCCCAUACUACAGCUCAUGGCAAUGCCAGAUCCUUAACUCACUGAGUGAGCGAGGCCAGGGAUUAAACCCACAUCUUCAUGGAUACUAGUCAGGUUUGUUUCUGCUGAGCCACAACGGGAACUCCUGCCAUAAUUUUUUAUUUUUUUAAGAGAAAAUUAAUACACGGGCCAACCUCCAGUUGCCAAGGCCACUUCUUUUUCUGAAGGCUUUUACUGGCUUCCAGUGCCUACUCUGCCCUAGUAGAAUGCAGAACAGACACACCAGGGAAUUGUUAUCAGCUAGAGAGUCAGAGGUGGGGGAUACACACCCCACCUUCACUGCACCUUUGGUGGGAUAACUGAGAUGUGUGAUCUGCAUUGAUGCCCAGAGUUUUGAAACAAGGAUCAGCUCCAAUGGUUCACAGGGGUGGCAUGUUUGAUAAUGCCUUGUUUUUGGCUUCUUUCCCUUCUGCAUCUUAUUGUCCUGAUCUCUUGUAAUGUGUCUCAGAAUCUCUCUCCCAAUAAAUUACUUAAGUCUAUGUCUCAGAUCUACUUCUGGGGCACCUGGAACUAAAGCAGCACUAUUCCUCCUUAUCUCAACUCUUUAGUCAAAUGUUAUCACCUAUUAAUUGUGAGAAUAUCAGCAAUGGGUAAAAAGUUUUUCAAGAAUGAUGUACCUUUGCUACAGCUAACACUUUAUAUCUUAUUUAAUCUUUACAACACAAUCAUGAGGUUGGAACCAGAUUAUCCACCAGUGAGUGGAUAAGAAAACUGAGGUUGAGGGACGCUAUUUCAGUGCUCAAGAUUUCACACGGAAUGCGGAGAAAGAUUCACACCGUCAUCUGCGUGAUUCUAAAACCCACAAAUAUAUGUAUUUCAGAGUAAAAACUAGAGUCCUGUUGAGUCCAUAGGAAUCGUUAUGACAGUCACUCCAACAGAUGUUGCAAAAGAGGUGUGGAGAGAAAACCGUUACCCACAGCUUCCUGGAACCCUGCUUGAGAAAUGCUGCGUUUGAUCACAAGCUUAGGGGCCACAUCUGUUUCACUGCUCCAUCCUCAGGAGUUGGCGCAGCUCCUGACCCAUCACCAGUGCAUGUUUACUGAAUGCAUGGAUGAAUCUCUCAUCUUCUCAGUGGGUCACAGUUCCUUCCCUCAGGGACCCUGUUCGUAUCUCUUCUAUCUCCUCAUUUUCAUUUUAAUGAGUCUUCUACCUCUAUAGCCUCUCAUUAGGAACUUGUUGGAAUGCUGGUUUUUUCCAGGCCAGUGACUUCUAUUUUCCAGGUUGUCCAGUGCUGACCUAAGGUCUCUGUGCUAAGCCUGAGGGUAGGCAGAAGACAGGUAUGAAGAGCAGCCAACAAAAGGACCCUCUGCUCUUUUGUAUGGAAACUCUUUCUUCACAAGUGUACUCCCCAGAAGCUUUUCUAGACAAUAACUGAUGCUAGCCAAGCAUUCAUACCAUGCAGAAUCCUACAGUUUUAUGUAAUCGCUCCUAAGCAGCAGCCGUGGAUGGAUGUCAGAAUUGGGAGAGAUCAAGAAAUGAAAUGAUGUACUCAAGAUUGCUUGUUGAAAUAGUGACAAAGUUAAAAUAAUAGUAACUUGCCCAAUUUCUCCUAAUUUAAGGCACAUGGUAAGCACAAAAAAUAUGCUAAAGAGUUAAAAAGAGCUUCUUUUUAAAAAUUGAAGAAAUGAUACUGCACCAAUUUAUAACAUCUACAUAAGGUGCUUUAAUGAAGAAAUCAUAAAGAUAUGUAUCUGUAGCCUUUGAAGAAACUGGCUCUUCUUCCCCAAGGGCCCAAUUGUAAUUUCUCUCCAGAAUCAGUCAUGAGAAAUUACUGAAGAAGAUAGGAGUCAAGUGUUAUCUUCCAAGAGAAGAAAAAUACACUGGAGUUCCCGUCGUGGCGCAGUGGUUAACGAAUCCGACUAGGAACCAUGAGGUUGCGGGUUCGGUCCCUGCCCUUGCUCAGUGGGUUAACGAUCCGGCGUUGCUGUGAGCUGGGGUGUAGGUUGCAGACGCGGCUCGGAUCCUGCAUUGCUGUGGCUCUGGUGUAGGCUGGCGGCUGCAGCUCCGAUUCGACCCCUAGCCUGGGAACCUCUAUAUGCUGCGGGAGCGGCCCAAGAAAUAGCAAAAAGACAAAAAAAAAAAAAAAAAAAAAA